ACGCGCGGGCGCUUAUCAUGCAGUCGAGCGAAGCUUUUCAGUAGUUUACUACAGAAAAUGACUGAGCGGCGACCGGGUGAGUACGCGUGAGCAAUCUACCUUAGUUACAGGGAUAGCCCGAGGAAACUCGGAUUAAUACCUGAUAUUCUUUAUUUCUCGCAUGGGAAUAAAAGGAAAGGUCAGCCGAACUAAGAUGAGCUCGCGUUCUAUCAGCUAGUUGGUGAGGUAAAAGCUCACCAAGGCUACGACGGAUAGCUGGUCUGAGAGGACGAUCAGCCACACUGGGACUGAGACACGGCCCAGACUCCUACGGGAGGCUGCAGCAGGGAAUAUUGCGCAAUGAGCGAAAGCUUGACGCAGCGACACCGCGUGUGGGAUGACGGAUCUAGGUUUGUAAACCACUUUCAGGAGGGAAGAAAAUGACGGUACCUCCACAAGAAGCCCCGGCCAACUACGUGCCAGCAGCCGCGGUAAUACGUAGGGGGCGAGCGUUGUCCGGAUUUAUUGGGCGUAAAGAGCUCGUAGGCGGUUCAACAAGUCGGUCGUGAAAGUUCAGGGCUCAACCCUGAAAUGUCGAUCGAUACUGUUGUGACUAGGAUACGGUAGAGGUGAGUGGAAUUCCGAGUGUAGCGGUGAAAUGCGUAAUAUUCGGAGGAACACA
This 661-nucleotide ribosomal RNA is filed under the name uncultured Actinomycetes bacterium. RNAcentral's name for it is "bacterial SSU rRNA". It matches the Rfam family "Bacterial small subunit ribosomal RNA", at positions 33 to 710 of the family's 1533-position model. Lineage: Bacteria; Bacillati; Actinomycetota; Actinomycetes. The record is from RNAcentral.